This 164-nucleotide ribosomal RNA is filed under the name Thinopyrum scirpeum. RNAcentral describes it as "5.8S ribosomal RNA". It matches the Rfam family "5.8S ribosomal RNA". Rfam says of the family: 5.8S ribosomal RNA (5.8S rRNA) is a component of the large subunit of the eukaryotic ribosome. It is transcribed by RNA polymerase I as part of the 45S precursor that also contains 18S and 28S rRNA. Lineage: Eukaryota; Viridiplantae; Streptophyta; Magnoliopsida; Poales; Poaceae. The record is from RNAcentral. RNAcentral also lists the same sequence under 1 other name.
CACACGACUCUCGGCAACGGAUAUCUCGGCUCUCGCAUCGAUGAAGAACGUAGCGAAAUGCGAUACCUGGUGUGAAUUGCAGAAUCCCACGAACCAUCGAGUCUUUGAACGCAAGUUGCGCCCGAGGCCACUCGGCCGAGGGCACGCUUGCCUGGGCGUCACGC